GUCUGAUGUAAGCCCAGCGAUUGGCAUUUGGUUUCCCGUCUGUUGUUGCUUGUUUGCGGAGUCUGAUGUAAGCCCAGCGAUUGGCAUUUGGUUUCCCGUCUGUUGUGGAUUAUUUGUGGAAUCUGAUGUAAGCCCAUUGAUUGGCAUUCAGUUUCCUUGUGCUGUUUGUGUUUUUUGUUCGGAGUCGUACGUAAGCCCAGCCAUUGGCAG
This 210-nucleotide long non-coding RNA is filed under the name Lathyrus oleraceus (garden pea). RNAcentral's name for it is "Pisum sativum (pea) long non-coding RNA (PSAT_LNC021050)". Lineage: Eukaryota; Viridiplantae; Streptophyta; Magnoliopsida; Fabales; Fabaceae. The record is from RNAcentral.